Molecule: ribosomal RNA, 504 nt
Filed under: uncultured bacterium
Lineage: Bacteria
Description: bacterial SSU rRNA
Rfam family: Bacterial small subunit ribosomal RNA
Source: RNAcentral
GGUCAGGAUGAACGCUAGCUACAGGCUUAACACAUGCAAGUCGAGGGGCAGCAUUGGGGUAGCAAUACUCAGAUGGCGACCGGCGCACGGGUGAGUAACACGUAUCCAACCUGCCGCUUACUCGGGGAUAGCCUUUCGAAAGAAAGAUUAAUACCCGAUGGUAUAAAGAGUUCGCAUGUUCUCUUUAUUAAAGAAUUUCGGUAAGCGAUGGGGAUGCGUUCCAUUAGAUAGUUGGCGGGGUAACGGCCCACCAAGUCUACGAUGGAUAGGGGUUCUGAGAGGAAGGUCCCCCACAUUGGAACUGAGACACGGUCCAAACUCCUACGGGAGGCAGCAGUGAGGAAUAUUGGUCAAUGGACGAGAGUCUGAACCAGCCCAAGUAGCGUGAAGGGUGACUGCCCUAUGGGUUGUAAACUUCUUUUAUAAGGGAAUAAAGUGAGGGACGUGUCCCUUUUUGUAUGUACCUUAUGAAUAAGGAUCGGCUAACUCCGUGCCAGCCGCCGC